This 408-nucleotide ribosomal RNA is filed under the name uncultured bacterium. Its description in RNAcentral is "partial 16S ribosomal RNA". It matches the Rfam family "Bacterial small subunit ribosomal RNA", at positions 28 to 526 of the family's 1533-position model. The record is from RNAcentral.
GACGAACGCUGGCGGCGUGCUUAACACAUGCAAGUCGAACGGAGUGGCGAACGGGUGAGUAAAACGUGGGUGAUAUGCCUUGAACUUUGGGAUAAGCUUGGGAAACUGGGACUAAAACCGGAUAGUGCAAGAUGAGCUCGCGGCCUAUCAGCUUGUUGGGGGGGUAAUGGCCUACCAAGGCGUCGACGGGUAGCCGGCCUGAGAGGGUGUACGGCCACAUUGGGACUGAGAUACGGCCCAGACUCCGACGGGCGGCAGCAGUGGGGAAUCUUGCACAAUGGGCGGAAGCCUGAUGCAGCGACGCCGCGUGGGGGAUGAAGGCCUUCGGGUUGUAAACUCCUUUCGACAGGGACGCGGUACCUGUAUAAGAAGCUCCGGCUAACUACGUGCCAGCAGCCGCGGUAAUAC